Molecule: non-coding RNA, 25 nt
Filed under: Mus musculus (house mouse)
Lineage: Eukaryota; Metazoa; Chordata; Mammalia; Rodentia; Muridae
Source: RNAcentral
UGGAAAAUCGAAGUAGCCGGGUCUC